ACAAUCUUGCACAUGACUCUAUUAUAGGCUAGAAAGCAAGAACACAACCAGAUGUACCAGACAAAAUAGAGUGUACAUUAGCUCUCUGAAAAAUGAAGUAUAACCGAUAAAUCUUGUAUAUAGUCACUCGAACGGAUCGGGUCUAACACAUGCCAAAGUACAUCCACACUCGGAUAGACUCUAUCUAUACAAGAUACAUAUAAAGGUAGCCUAUACAAAGAAAUACGGAUAAACUAUGUCAAACGGAUAUAUAGUAAUUCGGUCAAAAAGGCAAUCUCGUUCUCGAAUAUUUCGGAAUGUUCUGAAGGGUUCCAAAACCUUCCAAAACAUUGUGGGAGAUUCCAAAAUCUCAAGGCAUAUCCGUUAAUCUUUCUGCUUUGGAGCUUUGGAGCGCCGCAGGCCGCUCCUUGGUGUCCCCUCUGUAAGUUGCAGCACACUCCUCGGUGUUCCUCGGCCAAAAUUUCGGUGAAUCAUCACAACAAAAAAAUUCAGAAAAAAGAGUUUUUGGCCGCUUUGGAGAUUGAUCAUCAAUUAAAAUGGACAAAUUAACUGAAACAAAGAGAGUACAAUAACCAAAAUGUUCGCCUUGAGGGCAAGGAGAGUUCAGACUUCGAGAUAACUGUCGCCAAAGUUACGAAGAAAGAAACAGACAAAAAUAUGUCGUUGAGUUAGCUUUGGAAGUAAAUAUUCUUUGUGCAUUUUUUAUAAUCGAUCUCUAUGGUUUCCAUUGUUUGCUUUAUGAUUUAAUAAGAAGUUGUUUUUCAGCUGUUUGCUUGUUUGUAUUUUUUAAA
Long non-coding RNA from Andrographis paniculata, 791 nucleotides. RefSeq lists it as uncharacterized. The transcript has 3 exons. The record is from RefSeq and is a predicted model, not a curated record. Lineage: Eukaryota; Viridiplantae; Streptophyta; Magnoliopsida; Lamiales; Acanthaceae.